Grus americana (Whooping crane) is the source of this 3409-nucleotide long non-coding RNA. RefSeq lists it as uncharacterized. The record is from RefSeq and is a predicted model, not a curated record. The transcript is spliced from 4 exons. NCBI's taxonomy places the organism in Eukaryota, Metazoa, Chordata, Aves, Gruiformes, Gruidae.
GUGCUUCAGUCUACCCAAGAUGGAGAAGCAGAUGCAAUGUGUGUUUCCUGGGUAGGCAUGCUACUGGAAGACAGGGAGUUUGUCCAUGGUGCCAGGGGAAGGUGGAGAAGGAAAGGACGUGCGGGUUGGUGCUAUGCAGGAUUAACAGAAAUGGGAGGAUGCGAGGCCAUAUAGAAGAGAGCCUGUUGACGUGACAGCUGAGGAAAAUGCUGCAACAUUAACUCCUCUGCCAAAAGUUUCAGUCUGAGCUCACGCUGCCAAGAACCCCCGUGAAUCCAUCUGACCAUGACACAAAUUCAUAAUCCUCACAAAGUUUUUCUGCGCUGAGUGAAUACGCUGUCUGCUUCAGUCAACUGAAGCAGUGUACAGAGUCUGGAAGGCAGGAGAUUAUUGGAAUUUAAUCAGCCUCAAGGACAGAGAUGCUGCCCUUUCAGGAAGCACACUUACCUCUUUCCCAUUUUUUGGAAAGAACAGAGAAAAUGAUUGAUCCUUUCUCCUGCUUUAGUAUCCACGGAGCCUGGAUAGUAUCAGCCUGGAGACUGAAAGGGCAGCUUGGCUCCGCACCCCAGCAUUUCCAGAGGAUUUGAGCCCAGCCGCCUGCACCCAAAAAAAGACAAAGUUGAGACUGCGAUGUCAGACUGUAGCUCUAACAACCCUGCCAUCUGAAUGGUGCCAGAACAAAAUUUAACCAGAAAGUGUGACCAAGUAAAAUGCAUUGCAGCAGAGAAAUAGUUAAAGUAUUUAGACAUCCUGGUCUUGCAAGGUAUUUAUCUCUUGCUAUAGAGUCCCCAAGACUUUUCACGUUGGCAUUUCUUGUAAAACCCGUUACCAUUUGCUGCUGUCAUAUUGUUUGUUACGAAUGCUGGGGUUUUUCCCCCAGUAUGGACGCAGUUUCAUUAUAGCUCCAUGGGGGAAGUCUGAGAGCCCAUGGGUUAAAAAUUGUAAUUAAAUACUCAAGAUUUCAAUAAUCACAUGUAAUUUUAUUAGGUGUCUCUCUCAAUCCAAUUUCUGCUCUGUGAGAGGGAUUCUCGCUUGUUCUAUGCAUAUGCAAUUAUGUAUGAGAAUUAGUUACGGUACCUUCCACAGAGAUUUAAUCCUUCACCUUUCCCCCAAAAAUGAAAACACAAGAAACCCCCAACAGAGCAUGUCUGAGUAACAUGUCAGUCACUAAUGUGAACUGUAGUUUGUUCAGAAAUUUUAAAAACCAUUUCAGUCCAGCACAAAGCGAAGCUCUGUGCAUGCCAGCAGCAUUAGGCAGAGUCCAGUGGGGGCAAUGGAUCUGCUGGUGUGCUAAUUUCUUAAUGAAAUUUAAUUUUUACUUUUGCCUUUGCAAUUCCCCUCUCUCAGAGACCCUGUUAGCCAAAGAGGGUACUGGGGAUACUAUAUGUUUAGAAUAUAAGAUAUUAUUAAAAUAUCCUAUGACAUUAUUUUUAAAGGCUGAUGGUCAAUUCCUAAACAUAUUUAUUGAGAUCCUUAUAAAGUUUUGGUACUGAAAAGCUUAGCAAAAUGACUCCUUAGCACCCCUACUGUUCUCCCGGUCCCACAAUACCCUUCAUUUGCUUCCACACUUCAUGCACGUUAACUGCCCUAUUUAAAUAAAGGCGUUUUGCCUGAGUAAACCAUUUGAGCUGGUUCUCUUCCUCUGGUUCUCAUUCAUGGGAAAUCUGGGAUCUUACAGCCCCAGUUUGAGAGCCUGGUCCAUUAGUAUUGUGGCUGUAGAAACCCACACCAUAGGCUCCCCAAAGCUUGUUUCAGUGAUGCUGAUAUUGAUGAGUUUGUUUUUUUUUUUUCCUCUAGAAGGAAAUUAUGGUUAAAAAAAAAAUCCUCUAAAGUUUACUUCCACAUCAAAAUUGGGUUUGGUUUUUUUUUCUGUUUUUUGGUUGAAAUGGUUGGUUGAAAUGCUCACUUCUCUGCAAAGGAAAAAAAUCACUUUUGUUUUUUAUAAAUGUAUUUUUUUUCCUAAUUUUCUUUGGUUUAUUUGCUUGUUAAGACAGUUCUGUCAGCUGUUUGUAUAUGGAUCUUCAGUGUUAACUAUCAUGAUUUAAACUCCAAUGAGAUCUUAUUUUCAUAAGGCAUAAGUGUAAUAGUGAAUUUGAUAUCAUCAAAACAAGUCACCUGGACAAGGUCUGAGCUUACACAAAUUGCUUGUGAAUUAAAAGCAUUAUGGGCCUUUUUAUGUAUAAUCACUAAUAUGUCUGGUUAAUCCUCUGGACUACCUGUUGGUGUGGAAGAGAUAGAUGAACAGGUCACUUCAAAGCCCUGAAUUUGAUGUUCAAAAGUUUUCUUGAGCCAUUUUCAAUCCUAUGUAAAAGGAGGUGGAUAUUAGGCUGGAAUUUUUCCAGCACUGAGAGAAAUCAAGCUGUGAGCAGGUCUGGCAAUAGAUCCUUCAGAAAUUUCAAAUAUUAUUUAGGAAAACCAACUAUUUUUAUUUUUUUUUAAGCAUGCUAUGCUAUUUGUAGCCUUAUAAGUAUACCGGCAACUUGCAGUUAAAACACCUUAUCCUGAGAAUCUUAAUGCUAUAGGCUUGAAAAUGACUGAGUUAAUUUAGAAACAAUUAUAUAAAUCUAUAGAAACUUCUUUUCCCUUGGGAAAAAUGUGAUCUGUUUGGAGUAGCCAAAUUGUCUAUCUCUAUAAAGUGAGGUCUAAUUACGUGCGUGGGUGAAGUUAUAAUAACAUAUUUUUUAAAAUAUGUGAUUGUUUUUGUUCAUACAAUUCUUAUUACAAUAAAAUGGUCAGAUAAUGGAGUGAGAAAUACUGUGACAGGAAAUUUCCUACCCAUGAUUAACAUUGGCUUUGGACACAAACUGUCCAAGGCUAUAUUUUUUGGAUGGCUUGGCACUUUUUUGAUAAUACCACAUAUGUAGAUUAACUCUCACAAAACAAAACCUCUUCAGUGAAACACAUAUAACAUCUUUAUCCCCAUUGUUAAGCAAGGCAUAAUCUUUCAGAGUGGAAUCUCUCUAGAACUCUCUGACCUUUGCAUCUCCUAUAACACUUAACAGCAAUAAUUAAUAAUCAUGACAACAAAAAAUAAUUGCUUUCCAGGUGAGUCUUCCAUUGUGAUCCCAUAUUUCAGAGUAUUUCUCAUGAAAGAUGUACCCACGGUCUUCAUUUUUCCAGAUCAGAAUGCAUUACAGUAUAUCUGCUUCACAAAGAUCUUACUGAUUAUCAGUCCAGUGUGUUUGAGAAUAUUUCCCUGACAUGAAUAGGACUGGACUAUCCUUGUGCUUAAUCAUGUGUAUGAGUAUUUGCAAAAUUAGAGACAUAACUGUUUCAGCUUGUUUUGAAUUCAUAGUUGAUGCUGACAGGACACCUACAGCCUGUAAUCAAUACCUGUUUGUUACUGGAAAUUUAAAUUAAACAAAAUGUUACCUAGUUUGCAAAUAAUAUUAUCUGUCUUAAACCUCAA